Molecule: ribosomal RNA, 305 nt
Filed under: uncultured bacterium
Lineage: Bacteria
Description: bacterial SSU rRNA
Rfam family: Bacterial small subunit ribosomal RNA
Source: RNAcentral
GUGCCUACGGGAGGCAGCAGUGGGGAAUAUUGCACAAUGGGGAAAACCCUGAUGCAGCGACGCCGCGUGAGUGAAGAAGUAUUUCGGUAUGUAAAGCUCUAUCAGCAGGGAAGAAAAAAGACGGUACCUGACUAAGAAGCCCCGGCUAACUACGUGCCAGCAGCCGCGGUAAUACGUAGGGGGCAAGCGUUAUCCGGAUUUACUGGGUGUGAAGGGAGCGUAGACGGUUACGCAAGUCUGGAGUGAAAGGCGGGGGCCCAACCCCCGGACUGCUUUGGAAACUGUAUAACUGGAGUGCAGGAGAG